UACGGAGGGGGCUAGCGUUGUUCGGAAUUACUGGGCGUAAAGCGCGCGUAGGCGGACCUGCAAGUCGGGGGUGAAAGCCCGAGGCUCAACCUCGGAACUGCCUUCGAUACUGCGGGUCUCGAGUCCGGGAGAGGUGAGUGGAAUUCCUAGUGUAGAGGUGAAAUUCGUAGAUAUUCGGAAGAACACCAGUGGCGAAGGCAGCGAACUGGCGCUCGAUUGACGCUCAGGCACGAAAGCAUGGGGAUCAAACAGG
Molecule: ribosomal RNA, 253 nt
Filed under: uncultured bacterium
Lineage: Bacteria
Description: partial 16S ribosomal RNA
Rfam family: Bacterial small subunit ribosomal RNA
Source: RNAcentral